UUUUUUAUGAGUUUUGUAAAUACUCGUAUAAUCUAUUCUUGUGAGUAAUAGAGGUUGUUUUUCUCUCAAAUUCGUGUCUACCAACGCCCAAUUGAUUCUAGGUAACCCAACAAGUGGUAUCAGAGCUUGGUUAGAGGCGUUGGUUGAAAUUUUGGGUGACCGGCCGAAUUUGGGUUUUUUGAGUUUUACUCAAAAUCCAAUUUUGAGUGCACCAUUGGAUUUGUCUCGUCGAACCAAGUCCAACACACCAAACGGCGACCUAAUCGGAGUUCAAAUGAGCCCAGAAAUCGCGGUCAAAGUU
RNAcentral lists this long non-coding RNA (301 nucleotides) under Nicotiana benthamiana. RNAcentral describes it as "long non-coding RNA (NBEN_LNC024657)". The record is from RNAcentral. Lineage: Eukaryota; Viridiplantae; Streptophyta; Magnoliopsida; Solanales; Solanaceae.